GAAGUCGUCAAACCAGAUCAGAAUUCCUUUGAGGACCACCUUCAGGCAGGGACUGAGAAGGAUGUGGAGGUUUUUCACCAGAUGAGACUGAACAUCGACAAGGCCCAGGAAAACUGAAGGAGAGCUACCGGAGCAGAAUCAAGAAGGGGACCAAGUGCUACGAGAUCCUGGCAAAUGAAUUGGUUUGGAAGAAGGACAAAAGGAAGGGUUACAUCGGUGGAAGCCAACAAUUUUCUACAGUUGGAGCAGUUGGACGGUGGACCCCAAAAAGCACUGACGUCCCUCACUUCAGUGAAGCCCA
Molecule: long non-coding RNA, 301 nt
Organism: Oncorhynchus tshawytscha (Chinook salmon)
Lineage: Eukaryota; Metazoa; Chordata; Actinopteri; Salmoniformes; Salmonidae
Exons: 3
Source: RefSeq, a predicted model, not a curated record